CCUUUGGGUUGUAAACUCCUUUUCUCAGGGAAGAAGAACUGACGGUACCUGAGGAAUCAGCCUCGGCUAACUCCGUGCCAGCAGCCGCGGUAAUACGGAGGAGGCAAGCGUUAUCCGGAAUUAUUGGGCGUAAAGCGUUCGUAGGCGGCGUUUCAAGUCUGCUGUCAAAGGCCGAGGCUCAACUUCGGAAAGGCAGUGGAAACUGAAAAGCUAGAGGUCGGUAGGGGCAGAGGGAAUUCCCAGUGUAGCGGUGAAAUGCGUAGAUAUUGGGAAGAACACCGGUGGCGAAAGCGCUCUGCUGGGCCGAACCUGACGCUGAG
RNAcentral lists this ribosomal RNA (320 nucleotides) under Leptolyngbya valderiana ALU PBC2. RNAcentral describes it as "bacterial SSU rRNA". It matches the Rfam family "Bacterial small subunit ribosomal RNA", at positions 415 to 750 of the family's 1533-position model. Lineage: Bacteria; Bacillati; Cyanobacteriota; Cyanophyceae; Leptolyngbyales; Leptolyngbyaceae. The record is from RNAcentral.